RNAcentral lists this ribosomal RNA (253 nucleotides) under uncultured bacterium. RNAcentral's name for it is "partial 16S ribosomal RNA". It matches the Rfam family "Bacterial small subunit ribosomal RNA", at positions 524 to 776 of the family's 1533-position model. The record is from RNAcentral.
UACGGAGGGGGCUAGCGUUGUUCGGAAUUACUGGGCGUAAAGCGCGCGUAGGCGGACCUGCAAGUCGGGGGUGAAAGCCCGAGGCUCAACCUCGGAACUGCCUUCGAUACUGCGGGUCUCGAGUCCGGGAGAGGUGAGUGGAAUUCCUAGUGUAGAGGUGAAAUUCGUAGAUAUUAGGAAGAACACCAGUGGCGAAGGCGGCUCACUGGCCCGGUACUGACGCUGAGGCGCGAAAGCGUGGGGAACAAACAGG